This 497-nucleotide ribosomal RNA is filed under the name uncultured bacterium. RNAcentral's name for it is "partial 16S ribosomal RNA". It matches the Rfam family "Bacterial small subunit ribosomal RNA", at positions 28 to 507 of the family's 1533-position model. The record is from RNAcentral.
GAUGAACGCUGGCGGCGUUCCUAAUACAUGCAAGUCGAGCGAACGGACGCGAAGCUUGCUUCUCUGAUGUUAGCGGCGGACGGGUGAGUCACACGUGGAUAACCUACCUAUAAGACUGGGAUAACUUCGGGAAACCGGAUCUAAUACCGGAUAAUAUUUUGAACCGCAUGGUUCAAAAGUGAAAGACGGUCUUGCUGUCACUUAUAGAUGGAUCCGCGCUGCAUUAGCUAGUUGGUAAGGUAACGGCUUACCAAGGCAACGAUGCAUAGCCGACCUGAGAGGGUGAUCGGCCACACUGGAACUGAGCCACGGUCCAGACUCCUACGGGAGGCAGCAGUAGGGAAUCUUCCGCAAUGGGCGAAAGCAUGACGGAGCAACGCCGCGUGAGUGAUGAAGGUCUUCGGAUCGUAAAACUCUGUUAUUAGGGAAGAACAUAUGUGUAAGUAACUGUGCACAUCUUGACGGUACCUAAUCAGAAAGCCACGGCUAACUACGUG